GUAGAAUGUCGGCGAGACUACGAUUCGAACUGAUGCAAGCGAGGCACAACGUUGCAACCUUUUUAAUUCCCGAUUCUUUGAUGGUCUAAAUUUACAGUAAACUUCUUCCACCAGAAGCACGGAAGUAUGGUAUGUCUAAAAAUGCAAUGGAAAUUUAUAAAUAUUUAUCGCAGGACAUAGUGAAAGAUAUGACGUCGCGGUCGGACACGCUGCAUCACUAUAAAAGAAGAUCGUUUAUUUAUUCGACAAUGUCAACAAAAUCGAAGCAACGAAUUCAGAUUUACAUUAAAUAGGCUUUCAGGAAGAUGACGACAGCAGCGACGGCAAUGUCUUGCAGUUGGAUGGCCCGUGAUAUUCUCAGUGUUUUU
Megalopta genalis is the source of this 368-nucleotide non-coding RNA. The record is from RefSeq and is a predicted model, not a curated record. NCBI's taxonomy places the organism in Eukaryota, Metazoa, Arthropoda, Insecta, Hymenoptera, Halictidae.